This 500-nucleotide ribosomal RNA is filed under the name Bacillus proteolyticus. Its description in RNAcentral is "bacterial SSU rRNA". It matches the Rfam family "Bacterial small subunit ribosomal RNA", at positions 76 to 559 of the family's 1533-position model. The record is from RNAcentral. Lineage: Bacteria; Bacillati; Bacillota; Bacilli; Caryophanales; Bacillaceae.
GAGCUUGCUCUUAUGAAGUUAGCGGCGGACGGGUGAGUAACACGUGGGUAACCUGCCCAUAAGACUGGGAUAACUCCGGGAAACCGGGGCUAAUACCGGAUAACAUUUUGAACUGCAUGGUUCGAAAUUGAAAGGCGGCUUCGGCUGUCACUUAUGGAUGGACCCGCGUCGCAUUAGCUAGUUGGUGAGGUAACGGCUCACCAAGGCAACGAUGCGUAGCCGACCUGAGAGGGUGAUCGGCCACACUGGGACUGAGACACGGCCCAGACUCCUACGGGAGGCAGCAGUAGGGAAUCUUCCGCAAUGGACGAAAGUCUGACGGAGCAACGCCGCGUGAGUGAUGAAGGCUUUCGGGUCGUAAAACUCUGUUGUUAGGGAAGAACAAGUGCUAGUUGAAUAAGCUGGCACCUUGACGGUACCUAACCAGAAAGCCACGGCUAACUACGUGCCAGCAGCCGCGGUAAUACGUAGGUGGCAAGCGUUAUCCGGAAUUAUUGGGC